This 432-nucleotide unclassified non-coding RNA is filed under the name soil metagenome. RNAcentral's name for it is "partial contains 5.8S ribosomal RNA, internal transcribed spacer 2, and large subunit ribosomal RNA". The stretch from base 1 to 120 matches the Rfam family "5.8S ribosomal RNA", at positions 35 to 154 of the family's 154-position model. The record is from RNAcentral.
GAUGAAGAACGUAGCGAAAUGCGAUAAGUAAUGUGAAUUGCAGAAUUCAGUGAAUCAUCGAAUCUUUGAACGCAUAUUGCGCUCUCUGGUAUUCCGGAGAGCAUGCUUGUUUGAGUAUCAGUAAACACCUCAACUUCCAUAUCUUUUUUGAAAUGGGAGUUGGACUUGAGUGAUCCCAACGCUUUUCCUCACCGAAAAGUGGCGGGUUACUUGAAAUGCAGGUGCAGCUGGACUUUUCUCUGAGCUAUAAGCAUAUCUAUUUAGUCUGCCUAAAAAACAGAUUAUUACCUGUGCUGCAGCUAACAUAAAGGAGAUUAGUUCUUGUGCUGACUGAUGCAGGAUUCACAAAGACGGCUUCGGCCGACUUUGUAAACUCGAUCUCAAAUCAAGUAAGACUACCCGCUGAACUUAAGCAUAUCAAUAAGCGGAGGA